This 1053-nucleotide ribosomal RNA is filed under the name Escherichia coli. RNAcentral's name for it is "bacterial LSU rRNA". It matches the Rfam family "Bacterial large subunit ribosomal RNA", at positions 138 to 1230 of the family's 2925-position model. Lineage: Bacteria; Pseudomonadati; Pseudomonadota; Gammaproteobacteria; Enterobacterales; Enterobacteriaceae. The record is from RNAcentral.
UUUCGACACACUAUCAUUAACUGAAUCCAUAGGUUAAUGAGGCGAACCGGGGGAACUGAAACAUCUAAGUACCCCGAGGAAAAGAAAUCAACCGAGAUUCCCCCAGUAGCGGCGAGCGAACGGGGAGCAGCCCAGAGCCUGAAUCAGUAUGUGUGUUAGUGGAAGCGUCUGGAAAGGCGCGCGAUACAGGGUGACAGCCCCGUACACAAAAAUGCACAUGCUGUGAGCUCGAUGAGUAGGGCGGGACACGUGGUAUCCUGUCUGAAUAUGGGGGGACCAUCCUCCAAGGCUAAAUACUCCUGACUGACCGAUAGUGAACCAGUACCGUGAGGGAAAGGCGAAAAGAACCCCGGCGAGGGGAGUGAAAAAGAACCUGAAACCGUGUACGUACAAGCAGUGGGAGCACGCUUAGGCGUGUGACUGCGUACCUUUUGUAUAAUGGGUCAGCGACUUAUAUUCUGUAGCAAGGUUAACCGAAUAGGGGAGCCGAAGGGAAACCGAGUCUUAACUGGGCGUUAAGUUGCAGGGUAUAGACCCGAAACCCGGUGAUCUAGCCAUGGGCAGGUUGAAGGUUGGGUAACACUAACUGGAGGACCGAACCGACUAAUGUUGAAAAAUUAGCGGAUGACUUGUGGCUGGGGGUGAAAGGCCAAUCAAACCGGGAGAUAGCUGGUUCUCCCCGAAAGCUAUUUAGGUAGCGCCUCGUGAAUUCAUCUCCGGGGGUAGAGCACUGUUUCGGCAAGGGGGUCAUCCCGACUUACCAACCCGAUGCAAACUGCGAAUACCGGAGAAUGUUAUCACGGGAGACACACGGCGGGUGCUAACGUCCGUCGUGAAGAGGGAAACAACCCAGACCGCCAGCUAAGGUCCCAAAGUCAUGGUUAAGUGGGAAACGAUGUGGGAAGGCCCAGACAGCCAGGAUGUUGGCUUAGAAGCAGCCAUCAUUUAAAGAAAGCGUAAUAGCUCACUGGUCGAGUCGGCCUGCGCGGAAGAUGUAACGGGGCUAAACCAUGCACCGAAGCUGCGGCAGCGACGCUGAUGCGUUGUUGGGUA